RNAcentral lists this ribosomal RNA (488 nucleotides) under uncultured bacterium. Its description in RNAcentral is "partial 16S ribosomal RNA". It matches the Rfam family "Bacterial small subunit ribosomal RNA", at positions 28 to 507 of the family's 1533-position model. The record is from RNAcentral.
GAUGAACGCUAGCGGCAGGCUUAACACAUGCAAGUCGAGGGGCAGCAUAAUGGAUAGCAAUAUCUAUGGUGGCGACCGGCGCACGGGUGCGUAACGCGUAUGCAACCUACCUUUAACAGGGGGAUAACACUGAGGAAUUGGUACUAAUACCCCAUAAUAUCAUAGAAGGCAUCUUUUAUGGUUGAAAAUUCCGAUGGUUAGAGAUGGGCAUGCGUUGUAUUAGCUAGUUGGUGGGGUAACGGCUCACCAAGGCGACGAUACAUAGGGGGACUGAGAGGUUAACCCCCCACACUGGUACUGAGACACGGACCAGACUCCUACGGGAGGCAGCAGUGAGGAAUAUGGGUCAAUGGACGCAAGUCUGAACCAGCCACGCCGCGUGCAGGAGGACGGCUCUAUGAGUGGUAAACUGCUUUUGUACGAGGGUAAACGCAGAUACGUGUAUCUGUCUGAAAGUAUCGUACGAAUAAGGAUCGGCUAACUCCGUG